RNAcentral lists this ribosomal RNA (419 nucleotides) under uncultured bacterium. Its description in RNAcentral is "bacterial SSU rRNA". It matches the Rfam family "Bacterial small subunit ribosomal RNA", at positions 355 to 776 of the family's 1533-position model. The record is from RNAcentral.
UAAGGAAUAUUGCGCAAUGGACGAAAGUCUGACGCAGCGACGCCGCGUGGGGGAUGAAGGUCUUCGGAUUGUAAACCCCUUUCGGGAGGGAAGAUGGAACGAGCAAUCGUUCGGACGGUACCUCCAGAAGCAGCCACGGCCAACUUCGUGCCAGCAGCCGCGGUAAUACGAAGGUGGCAAGCGUUGUUCGGAUUCACUGGGCGUACAGGGUGUGUAGGCGGUUUGGUAAGCCUUCUGUUAAAGCUUCGGGCCCAACCCGGAAAGCGCAGAGGGUACUGCCAGGCUAGAGGGCGGGAGAGGAGCGCGGAAUUCCCGGUGUAGCGGUGAAAUGCGUAGAGAUCGGGAGGAAGGCCGGUGGCGAAGGCGGCGCUCUGGAACGUACCUGACGCUGAGACACGAAAGCGUGGGGAGCAAACAGG